Molecule: ribosomal RNA, 440 nt
Filed under: uncultured bacterium
Lineage: Bacteria
Description: partial 16S ribosomal RNA
Rfam family: Bacterial small subunit ribosomal RNA
Source: RNAcentral
CCUACGGGAGGCUGCAGUGGGGAAUAUUGCACAAUGGGGGAAACCCUGAUGCAGCGACGCCGCGUGAGUGCAGAAGUAUUUCGGUAUGUAAAGCUCUAUCAGCAGGGAAGAAAAUGACGGUACCUGCUUAAGAAGCCCCGGCUAACUACGUGCCAGCAGCCGCGGUAAUACGUAGGGGGCAAGCGUUAUCCGGAUUUACUGGGUGUAAAGGGAGCGUAGACGGCAGCACAAGUCUGGAGUGAAAUGCCAGGGCUUAACCCCGGAACUGCUUUGGAAACUGUGCAGCUAGAGUGCAGGAGAGGUAAGUGGAAUUCCUAGUGUAGCGGUGAAAUGCGUAGAGAUUAGGAGGAACACCAGUGGCGAAGGCGGCUUACUGGACUGUAACUGACGUUGAGGCGCGAAAGCGUGGGGAGCAAACAGGAUUAGAUACCCUUGUAGUC